Non-coding RNA from Fusarium fujikuroi IMI 58289, 125 nucleotides. NCBI's taxonomy places the organism in Eukaryota, Fungi, Ascomycota, Sordariomycetes, Hypocreales, Nectriaceae. The record is from Rfam.
AGCAGCUUGGCGCAGUGGAAGCGCGGUAUGUUUCUGCUCCACAAUGUAACUUAACGAUAGAGUACUAACAUAUCCCAGCCGGGCUCAUAACCCGGAGGUCACUGGAUCGAAACCAGUAGCUGCUA